GUAUCCCAUAUCAGAGUAAACUGUAGCUCUGAACCAUUGCCUGGCCUCUCUCUGUUGGCUGUUGGCACUGACGCGAGUUGCACAGCA
RNAcentral lists this small nucleolar RNA (87 nucleotides) under Jaculus jaculus (lesser Egyptian jerboa). RNAcentral's name for it is "Small nucleolar RNA SNORA42/SNORA80 family (ENSJJAG00000004741.1)". Lineage: Eukaryota; Metazoa; Chordata; Mammalia; Rodentia; Dipodidae. The record is from RNAcentral.